This 405-nucleotide ribosomal RNA is filed under the name Acanthamoeba genotype T4. Its description in RNAcentral is "SSU rRNA". It matches the Rfam family "Eukaryotic small subunit ribosomal RNA", at positions 784 to 1084 of the family's 1831-position model. The record is from RNAcentral. Lineage: Eukaryota; Discosea; Longamoebia; Acanthamoebidae.
AUUUUCUGCCACCGAAUACAUUAGCAUGGGAUAAUGGAAUAGGACCCUGUCCUCCUAUUUUCAGUUGGUUUUGGCAGCGCGAGGACUAGGGUAAUGAUUAAUAGGGAUAGUUGGGGGCAUUAAUAUUUAAUUGUCAGAGGUGAAAUUCUUGGAUUUAUGAAAGAUUAACUUCUGCGAAAGCAUCUGCCAAGGAUGUUUUCAUUAAUCAAGAACGAAAGUUAGGGGAUCGAAGACGAUCAGAUACCGUCGUAGUCUUAACCAUAAACGAUGCCGACCAGCGAUUAGGAGACGUUGAAUACAAAACACCACCAUCGGCGCGGCCGUCCUUGGCCGUGCGUCUCGUUUCGGCGAGGCGUUUGGCGGGGGCGGCUUAGCCCGGUGGCACCGGUGAAUGACUCCCCUAGC